Molecule: unclassified non-coding RNA, 243 nt
Filed under: fungal sp.
Lineage: Eukaryota; Fungi
Description: partial internal transcribed spacer region
Rfam family: Eukaryotic small subunit ribosomal RNA (bases 1-46)
Source: RNAcentral
AAGUCGUAACAAGGUUUCCGUAGGUGAACCUGCGGAAGGAUCAUUAACACUAAUGAAAUCCAAAACCUUUUGGAUCAACCCAACCUUAGCGAACCGUUCGUUUUUUCCCUUUGCCAUUUUACUAAACGCAAAACAAUCUGAUGUAACGUGUCUGAUUCUUAUUCCCGUUGUUCCCGCAAGGGUAACAGCUGGAAUCAAAAAUCUAACGCAAUACAACUCUUAACAACGGAUAUCUUGGCUCUC